CGGACAAUUUGCAGGUGCAACUUUUAUAUCAGCGUUUCUAUUUACUGGUCUCAACUUACCGUUGAGAGAUUUUAAAAAAAUAAAAUGAAAUUUGGUUGUGCAUCAGCAGUUUCUGUUAAAGCAGUCACUCAAUUAUCCCAUGGUAAGUUAGUCAUGGUCGAAUUACAGAUGGAGGGGGGGGAUUUAGAUAUUUUGUUACUCAGAUAUAUUAACUGCAAAUACUCCUCUCUGCCCCCUGGCAAAAUGUGUAGAAUUGCAGCAAACUUGCUUUAGGACUGACAUUUUCUUUGUGCUCCAUGGCAAACUGUGCAGAACAUGUUCUCCCAAACGUACUUUUCUUCUCUCCGCUGUCAAGGGGGGCCGUUUAAAAAAUAUUUUUCUCUCAAGGUCACUACAUGUGUGUUUAUGGAUGUGGGUACUCAGACCCACAAGCCACUGGAGCCCCUCAUGAUGGGUUAAGAUUUUGUGGCCCCCACCCUUAUCAACGUUGCCUAUCCCUGGUUUAAGUUGUGAGAGAAAUAUCAGUAAAGCCAUACUUGUGUAGAUAUUUCAGUAUUGACUAGGGCUGCUGGUGCUUUUACACAGUCCACACUGACCCUGUAUUUUAUACGCAUGUCCAAAGUGUUGGGAGGCCAUACCCUCAAAUAUUUGAGAGAAUUGAGAAAGUAGGAUUUUGGUUGUCUAUGCUUAUACUCCCAUGAUGCAGCUUGCUGACAAGAUAUGGCUUCAUAGGUUGACUUUGUUUUGUCUGAUUUAAUGUUUUGGAUCAAUAUUUAACUUGAUGUGUCACAACCAAUUCUAGAAUUGUCUGCGUCUGUGCCAAGGUUAUGCACCAGAAUGUUGUGUGUUUUUUGCUAUUCCCUUUUUUCUUCCUAUGCAAUCUUAGCUAACCUUAUUUAUCAUUUUGUGCACUGUGGGUAGAAACUUCUGAGUUGUCGAGACUACCGAACAAAAAAGCCUUUAAUAUUGUUUGUAUUUGUCAAUGUUUUAUAUUUUUGUGUCCAGGUUUUAAAGGGUUACAGUUAAACAGGGGGUGUGGAUCUGCAGGUAUUGGUAUAGUAUACCACCAUUCUAUUGUAAUGGAAAACUUUGACAGUUGAGAUUAUUGCAAAUCCUUUUUUGUAUGGGCAGAUUUCUAUUCUCAUUUUAGUAUAGCUAGCUCUACACUAAGUUGAAAGCUUAUUCUCAGUUCAAGUUUUAAGCAUGUGCUUGGAGGACUGAAGAUGCUACUUACUCUUGUGAUUUUACAGUCAUGUUUUGGGUAGGAUAAUAUGCCUUAUCUACCCAUUAAUUAGUGCACAAAAUGUUAAUUAUUCUCCAAAUGUUGACAGGUCUAUCAUAUCCCCGUAUCUGUCCUGUCUAAAUGCCAGUCUUUCAUUUGAACAACAAGCACUCCAAAGAUUCAUUGAAUGUACUGGUAUUUCUAAAAUGAGACUUAAAUAAAUGCCAGCUUUAACCAAAAUAGUUGGUUUUCUUUCAAGCUGAUCAGAGUUGCAGUUUCAUGUUCUUUAGGGUACUUUUUCUUGUUUUUAGACCAUGUAGAAGAGCAUGUCAAUAUAAAAU
This is a long non-coding RNA of Oncorhynchus tshawytscha (Chinook salmon), 1563 nucleotides long. NCBI's taxonomy places the organism in Eukaryota, Metazoa, Chordata, Actinopteri, Salmoniformes, Salmonidae. The record is from Ensembl.